AAGCCCCUGCUUUUCCGGGGUGCUCGAGUGGCGAACGGGUGACUUACACGUGAGUAACCUGCCCUUGACUUUGGGAUAACUUCAGGAAACUGGGGCUAAUACCGGAUAGGAGCUCCUGCUGCAUGGUGGGGGUUGGAAAGUUUCGGCGGUUGGGGAUGGACUCGCGGCUUAUCAGCUUGUUGGUGGGGUAGUGGCUUACCAAGGCUUUGACGGGUAGCCGGCCUGAGAGGGUGACCGGCCACAUUGGGACUGAGAUACGGCCCAGACUCCUACGGGAGGCAGCAGUGGGGAAUAUUGCACAAUGGGCGGAAGCCUGAUGCAGCAACGCCGCGUGCGGGAUGACGGCCUUCGGGUUGUAAACCGCUUUCGCCUGUGACGAAGCGUGAGUGACGGUAAUGGGUAAAGAAGCACCGGCUAACUACGUGCCAGCAGCCGCGGUGAUACGUAGGGUGCGAGCGUUGUCCGGAUUUAUUGGGCGUAAAGGGCUCGUAGGUGGUUGAUCGCGUCGGAAGUGUAAUCUUGGGGCUUAACCCUGAGCGUGCUUUCGAUACGGGUUGACUUGAGGAAGGUAGGGGAGAAUGGAAUUCCUGGUGGAGCGGUGGAAUGCGCAGAUAUCAGGAGGAACACCAGUGGCGAAGGCGGUUCUCUGGGCCUUUCCUGACGCUGAGGAGCGAAAGCGUGGGGAGCGAACAGGCUUAGAUACCCUGGUAGUCCACGCUGUAAACGGUGGGUACUAGGUGUGGGGUCCAUUCCACGGGUUCCGUGCCGUAGCUAACGCUUUAAGUACCCCGCCUGGGGAGUACGGCCGCAAGGCUAAAACUCAAAGGAAUUGACGGGGCCCCGCACAAGCGGCGGAGCAUGCGGAUUAAUUCGAUGCAACGCGUAGAACCUUACCUGGGUUUGACAUGGAUCGGGAGUGCUCAGAGAUGGGUGUGCCUCUUUUGGGGUCGGUUCACAGGUGGUGCAUGGCUGUCGUCAGCUCGUGUCGUGAGAUGUUGGGUUAAGUCCCGCAACGAGCGCAACCCUUGUUCACUGUUGCCAGCACGUUAUGGUGGGGACUCAGUGGAGACCGCCGGGGUCAACUCGGAGGAAGGUGGGGAUGACGUCAAGUCAUCAUGCCCCUUAUGUCCAGGGCUUCACGCAUGCUACAAUGGCUGGUACAGAGAGUGGCGAGCCUGUGAGGGUGAUCGAAUCUCGGAAAGCCGGUCUCAUUUCGGAUUGAUGUCUGCAACUCGACCUCAUGAAGUCGGAGUCGCUAGUAAUCGCCAGAUCAGCAAAACUUGCGUGAAUAAGUUCCCGGGAGCU
Molecule: ribosomal RNA, 1305 nt
Filed under: uncultured bacterium
Lineage: Bacteria
Description: bacterial SSU rRNA
Rfam family: Bacterial small subunit ribosomal RNA
Source: RNAcentral